CGAGAAAGGUUCCUUCGGGGUGUGAGUAAAGUGGCGGACGGGUGAGUAAUGCAUAGACAACCUGCCCUCGAAACGGGGACAACACUUCGAAAGGAGUGCUAAUACCCGAUAUUGUCUCGAGAUCGUGGUUUCGAGAUAAAAGGGAGGCCUCUGAUUAAGCUUCCGUUCGAGGAGGGGUUUAUGUCCUAUUAGCUUGUUGGUGAGGUAAUGGCUCACCAAGGCAACGAUGGGUAGCCGGCCUGAGAGGGUGAUCGGCCACAUUGGGACUGAGACACUGCCCAGACUCCUACGGGAGGCUGCAGUCGAGAAUCUUCCGCAAUGCGCGCAAGCGUGACGGAGCGACGCCGCGUGGGUGAUGAAGGCCUUCGGGUUGUAAAGCCCUGUUACCUGCUAUGAAUGGCCGGUGGUGAAUAGCCAUCCGGUUUGACGUAAGUAGGAGAGGAAGCACCGGCUAAAUACGUGCCAGCAGCCGCGGUAAUACGUAUGGUGCGAACGUUGUUCGGAUUCACUGGGCAUAAAGAGCGCGUAGGCGGUUCGGUAAGUCUGUUGUGAAAGCCCUCGGCCCAACCGAGGAACUGCAAUGGAUACUGCCGGACUAGAGUGCAGGAGGGGAGAGUGGAAUUCCUGGUGGAGCGGUGAAAUGCGUAGAUAUCAGGAGGAACGCCGGUGGCGAAAGCGACUCUCUGGCCUGCAACUGACGCUGAGGCGCGAAAGCUAGGGGAGCGAACGGGAUUAGAUACCCCGGUAGUCCUAGCCCUAAACGAUGGGCACUAGGUAGAGGGAGUUCCGAUACUUUCUCUGCUGCAGCUAAUGUAUUAAGUGCCCCGCCUGGGGAGUAUGGUCGCAAGGCUAAAACUCAAAGGAAUUGACGGGGGCUCACACAAGCGGUGGAGCAUGUUGUUUAAUUCGAAGCAACGCGAAGAACCUUACCUGGGUUUGACAUGCUUGGGAUCGCCUAUGAAAGUCUCGGUGCCUUCGGGAACUGAGAGACAGGUGCUGCAUGGCUGUCGUCAGCUCGUGUCGUGAGAUGUUGGGUUAAGUCCCGCAACGAGCGCAACCCUUAUCCUUAGUUACCAGCGAGUUAAGUCGGGGACUCUAAGGAGACUGCCGGUGACAAACCGGAGGAAGGUGGGGACGACGUCAAGUCAUCAUGGCCCUUAUGGGCAGGGCUACACACGUGCUACAAUGGUCGGUACAGAGGGUUGCCAAGCCGCGAGGUGGAGCUAAUCCCAGAAAGCCGAUCUUAGUCCGGAUUGCAGUCUGCAACUCGACUGCAUGAAGUCGGAAUCGCUAGUAAUCGCGAAUCAGAACGUCGCGGUGAAUACGUUCCCGGGCCUUGUACACACCGCCCGUCACACCAUGGGAGUGGGUUGCAAAAGAAGUGGGUAGACUAACCUUCGGGAGGUC
Molecule: ribosomal RNA, 1407 nt
Filed under: uncultured prokaryote
Description: partial 16S ribosomal RNA
Rfam family: Bacterial small subunit ribosomal RNA
Source: RNAcentral